This is a non-coding RNA of Myotis lucifugus (little brown bat), 76 nucleotides long. Lineage: Eukaryota; Metazoa; Chordata; Mammalia; Chiroptera; Vespertilionidae. The record is from Rfam.
GGCAGUGCUUGGGUGACGCACCCCAGAAUCGGACUCCCUCCUCUCUUCUUCUGGGGUACAUCACCCAAGAAUCACU